GGACAGGGGAGCCUGAUGGGCUGCCGUCUAUGGGGUCGCACAGAGUUGGACACGACUGAAGCGACUUAGCAGCAGCAGCAGCGGCAGUCUUGUUAGAUGAAAAUUUUUUAUUGCCUAUUUUAUAGUUAAGGAAUUCGAAGCACAGCAAGAUUAAGUAGUUUGUCCAUUGUCACAGAGCCAGGUAGUGCUAGUGCUGGGCUUCACACACAUCAGGCUCUUCCUGCAAUGAGGUAGAGGGUACAGGGAGUCUGUUGACUUUUGAGUGAAACUGUGCAUAUGAAAAUCUGGUCUGAUCUAUAGACCUUUCCAGGCUGUAUUUUCCAUAGUAGUAAAAAUGAGAAUCAUAAUUACUUCCUAAGUUUAAUAGAGUAAAAGAUCAUGUAUGAGCCAAUAACUACAAUAGGUCCCUGAGCAUGGUGGAUACUCAGCAUAUAUGAGUUUUUGUCUUUAAUGACAAGAAACUCUCUGAACAAAGAAAGUCUGCUUUCUCUGGUAGCCAUGUUAUCUAGGGCUUCUGUCCUCAUCCUCAGAGGCCCGGUGUCAGGAAAUAAGAAUAGGCUGAACGUGACCUUAACUCUCAUGUCCCACAGCCUGCAUGUUUGGAAGAGCUAUCACUCACACCUGCACAUAUUUUGAGUAACUCUCUAAAAGUGCAUAUAAGGAGAUGAGAGUGAAGUCCUCAAGUGAACUGAAUCUCCUGGGACUUUUCUAUGGUGAGGAAGCGGUGUGUUAUUUUUAAGUACUACCAGCCAUAGGCCUCACCAAAGCGUCUAAGUUUUUUCAAAGCUGUAAAACAAAGUAUAAGACAUGGCAUAAAGAUUCUGAUGCAUGCUUCUGGGGUGAGUCUCUACCAUCUCAAAGCAACCCCUAAACGAGAUAAGCCUUGGCGGGCCCCACCUUGGCGGGCCCCAAAGUGAGAAGGAGGGUGGGCCUGCCAGGGCCACUGGCCUGCAGUUCACUGUUGAGCGUCCAGUGCCCUGAACUCUGCCUGCUGCCCCUCCCUGAUGCAAAGCCUGGACAGCCUGCCUUCCACAGACCUGGAGAUCUUCAGAUCUUGUCUGAGGAUGAUACGAGGAAAAACCUCGCUCUCUGACCAAGGUGGAAUAGGACAAACCUGUUGGAAACCUGUGUAUGUUCCGGGGGCUAGAAUCAAAGCGUCACCAUGGCACUUGCCUCUGAGGAGUUCUCUGGAAAUGGGUGGAAUGAAAGGCAUGGUGUUUAGAAUGCAGCACCUGACAGUAAUAGGGCUCCCCCAGUCUGGCCCAUAUUACUGUUAUGAUAUAAAAGCUGAUGCUUCCUGGAACACUAUUCUAAGAGUAUUGCAUGAAAUGACUCAUUGAGUCUUCACAAUGGCCUUAUUAUCUCUUACCAUGAAGUAACAGAGACUCAGAGAGCCCAGUAGCCCUCUCCUCCUCAGCUGCCAAUCUUUAUUGACCUCCCCCUGCUCUCUGGGAGAAACCAGUCUCCAUCACACAGCUGCUGCUAAGGCCCUUCAUGACCUAGCUUCCAAACAGCCCUUGGGGUAAAUUAUUUUUUCCCCUUCACAUUCCACAUUCAGGUUGUGAUGAAUUGGGUUCAGGUCUUCAAAUGUAUUAUAUUCUCCAUUACCGCAGGACCUUUGCACAGGACCUCUGCCUGAAAUCACCUCUCUCUUACUCCCUAAGCAGGAUAAUCACUACUCGGACUUUGAGAUUCAAGGCUCCAUGUGGCCAGACUUUCCACAGACCAUGGAGCAUACCAUCGAGUGGGUCCUCAAAAAAUGUUUUUUGAUGAAUGAGAGAUUGACUUUCUUUUGCUCUGCUGUCUCAGCCACACACUGUUCCACCCCUGAAAAUCAUAAUUUAAAGUGCCUGUUGAUAAUUAUCAUUAUCAGUUUGACU
Bubalus bubalis (water buffalo) is the source of this 1880-nucleotide long non-coding RNA. RefSeq lists it as uncharacterized. The transcript is spliced from 2 exons. The record is from RefSeq and is a predicted model, not a curated record. NCBI's taxonomy places the organism in Eukaryota, Metazoa, Chordata, Mammalia, Artiodactyla, Bovidae.